CAUCUAAGCAUGAAGCCCCCCUCGAGAUGAGAUUUCCCAACUUCGGUUAUAAGAUCCCUCAAAGAUGAUGAGGUGAAUAGGUUCGAGGUGGAAGCGUAGCGAUACGUGGAGCUGACGAAUACUAAUCGAUCGAAGACUUAAUCAA
RNAcentral lists this ribosomal RNA (145 nucleotides) under Staphylococcus pseudintermedius. Its description in RNAcentral is "partial 23S ribosomal RNA". It matches the Rfam family "Bacterial large subunit ribosomal RNA", at positions 2778 to 2925 of the family's 2925-position model. Lineage: Bacteria; Bacillati; Bacillota; Bacilli; Caryophanales; Staphylococcaceae. The record is from RNAcentral.